Molecule: long non-coding RNA, 880 nt
Filed under: Scleropages formosus (Asian bonytongue)
Lineage: Eukaryota; Metazoa; Chordata; Actinopteri; Osteoglossiformes; Osteoglossidae
Description: lncRNA (ENSSFOG00015030260.1)
Source: RNAcentral
GUCUCUUUUUAGGAAAUUCUCUGGGUAGUUGCUCCAUUCAGUGACGUGGCGAGACCUAAGCGGCUCAAUGGAAGGAGCAUUUAAACCGAUUCCUGCGACUGCGACGCAUCCCACGGGAACUUGGUUCCAAGCGAACAGCGUGUUCCCACUUCCCACACGAAGCAAACACACGCCGAAGACACCCAUUGCCGGGGCUUCCCGGGACGGUGAAGACGGUCCCGAGAUCUCCACGGGUUUGUUCACGGAGGGAUUGAUGGCCGCGGUGUGGAAUGCGUGGAAUGCGUGCUGGAGCAGCUUAUUACGUCUCCAGGGGUGGAACAAGUAAGACACGACAGCCACCGAGAGAGAAAUCGUAUCCUUUUAUCCAUGCUGUUGCUGGGUAUGUAUUAUGUACGUAGUACAUGUUGUAUAAAUGUAUCUGCGGUGCAAAAAUCGGGUUUUGUUACUAGUAAUUAUGUUAGAAAGGGCUGCGUCUCUGUGCCUCUCCCCUGUAUCGCACAGUCAAGUGGUUUGCGCCGCGGUGGGCGUGGCCUGGCUGCCGAGAGCCCGGGACAGAUCAAUGAACCCCGCCAGAACGCGCUCGCAGGGCAGCGCGAGCUGAUUCAGAGUCGUCGAUGCGUUCGGUUGUUAUUGGAGCGUUUGAGUGAAAAAUUGCGUUGUUGUGACGCGAGAGCAACGGUUUCUUACGUCGUUGAAAGGUAAAAAAGACACGCAAACACGGUAAAAAACGCGGCUCAGCUGUGUGGGGAGAGACACUACGGAUCGGUUAAGAUGAUUUUUUCGAGCACGACGAACCCCGUGAGGACGCCGUACCGCAAACAGGUAGGCCGAAUGCUCAUGAAUGUUAAUGUAUAUUAGAAAUCUCCUUAAAUGAAUUUUU